GGAGUCUGGGCCGUGUCUCAGUCCCAAUGUGGCCGUCCACCCUCUCAGGCCGGCUACCGAUCGUCGCCUUGGUGGGCCGUCGCCCCGCCAACAAGCUAAUCGGACGCGGGCCCAUCGGAAAGCGGAUUGAAUCCUUUAGUACAAGAAGCAUGCGCCUCUCGUACAACAUUCGGUAUUAGCACCCCUUUCGGGAUGUUGUCCCCAUCUUUCCGGCAGGUUGCCCACGCGUUACUCACCCGUUUGCCACUAGGCUUUAAAAAGCAAGCUUUCUAUCGCCCCGUUCGACUUGCAUGUGUUAAGCACGCCGCCAGC
Molecule: ribosomal RNA, 312 nt
Filed under: uncultured Lachnospiraceae bacterium
Lineage: Bacteria; Bacillati; Bacillota; Clostridia; Lachnospirales; Lachnospiraceae
Description: partial 16S ribosomal RNA
Source: RNAcentral